Arabidopsis thaliana (thale cress) is the source of this 340-nucleotide non-coding RNA. NCBI's taxonomy places the organism in Eukaryota, Viridiplantae, Streptophyta, Magnoliopsida, Brassicales, Brassicaceae. The record is from RefSeq.
AUAUCAUAUGUUUCUUUUUUAUUAAUUUCUGUCACCAAAAUUAGACCUCUUUUUUCUGUUCCAUUUACACCAAACUUCUACAUUUCAUUUCUUUUUUCUUUCCAAUAAAAUGUAUCUAAAGUUAUAUAUCAUGUUAAACUAUUUUCAAAUCCGUUGGAAUCCAUCAAAAAAUAUGUAAGAAAUGCUCAAGCCAUCGCUGGUCGCCCCUUAAUUGAUGUGUAUGCGUCAUCGUCUUAUAUAUAGUGGUCAUUUCUUUUGUUUACGUCUCAUUGUUGUCAUCUUCUAGACAAGAAAUGACAUCUAUAUUGUCAUUUCAUUGAUGCAUCAUCGAUUCAUCGUC